UACGAAGGGGGCUAGCGUUGCUCGGAAUUACUGGGCGUAAAGCGCACGUAGGCGGCUCUUUAAGUCUGCUGUGAAAUCCCCGGGCUCAACCUGGGAAUGGCAGUGGAUACUGGCAAGCUAGAGUGCGGUAGAGGGUAGUGGAAUUCCCGGUGUAGCAGUGAAAUGCGUAGAGAUCGGGAGGAACACCAGUGGCGAAGGCGGCUACCUGGACCAGCACUGACACUGAAGCACGAAAGCGUGGGGAGCAAACAGG
RNAcentral lists this ribosomal RNA (253 nucleotides) under uncultured bacterium. Its description in RNAcentral is "partial 16S ribosomal RNA". It matches the Rfam family "Bacterial small subunit ribosomal RNA", at positions 524 to 776 of the family's 1533-position model. The record is from RNAcentral.